This 217-nucleotide long non-coding RNA is filed under the name Elaeis guineensis (African oil palm). Its description in RNAcentral is "long non-coding RNA (EGUI_LNC031791)". The record is from RNAcentral. Lineage: Eukaryota; Viridiplantae; Streptophyta; Magnoliopsida; Arecales; Arecaceae.
ACUUAUGUGGCCAAUACAGUAGAUUAUGUUUUGAUUAGGUCACUAAUUGAUUCGAGCUGACCCAUGCCAUUAAGGUAAAUCUGUGUGAUUGAUUUCAGUGUCUCUAAACCAGAUUUGACUUUUGUCCUCUUUAUGACUUGGUGAAGUCAGUGGAAGGAUUUAUAUCUUGUCGGUUAAUUUUUUUUCUUAUUCUCAAAUCAUUAAAUCAAUUUGACUG